CCAUGAUUUUUGUUCCUUGUGGGAGGAGGCACUAGAGAGGGCUGCUGCUACUGCUGCAGCAGGAGGCGCAUCUGGGACGUGCAGAUGUGAGGAAGACGGUGGAGGGCGAGGUGCAGUAAGUGGGCAGUUAAUGCAUAGUGCCACGUCUGCUUGUGUGUUUUACCUCCAGUUGUAGGAGGGAGAAGCAUAGGUUUCAACUCGUUUGGGGAUUUGUAGUGGUGGGGUAGCAGCAGCAACAUCAGCAUGGGGUUACUGUCGUUCAUGGGCCGUACCACUUUCUCGGCCAUCUUCGUUUUGCCUUCAUGGCAGCAGUGAGUGCCACGACUCCUGUCAUAAUCCAUAAAGAAAUAGGGAGUGAUAUGCCUCGUGAGACUCACCUAAUCGAUACAGGAGGUGGAAGUUUUGUUUGAGGGUUUCCAGGGCGAAACUUGAAUUGGCUUAAUGUGCAGCUAAUUAUACAUUGGUUGUGUCCUGCCUUUCUUCAGAAUCCAGGAUUUCGGUCAGGAUGGGGGUGCAGCUUUGAAGGCACUAGACACUAAGUUUCCGUUGUUUCUGAACAACGUCAACAAUGCUCACAACUUGCACUUGGCCCUCCCAAAUGGCAUUCAAAGCAGCUUUGAUCAUAUUCGCCAACGUACCUGCAGUUUCGCUUUUUAUCUAUGGUUAUCGGCAUUUAGGGGUUGCGAUCCUAGGUCCAUAAUUUCAUAUCAUGCAUUUGUACUACAAUGCAUGUUGGGUGUGUAAUUCGUGUCUCAUUGCGCUAUGAAUGUGGGAUGGCAAGUGAAGUGUGCAAUUUUAUACUCUAAUAUAUACUGAAUACGUCAUUGCUGCAGACUAAUACUUGUUUGAUGGUUGCCAUUUAAUUGGAGGCUCUGGGUGGUCUUCUUUUCAUCUUAGACAGUAACCUCGGUGCGUAUUUACUGCUUGUCUUCCUUGCGUUAGUGACACCGAUUAUGCAUGACUUUUACAACUAUGAUAUUGCAACAGGUGAUUACUUACACCAGUUCAACUCAUUCUUGAAGGUAUGUGCUUUAUAGACCCUUCCUUUCCCUAGAUCCAGUCCUAACAGACAAUUUUGCGCUCAGUUUUGUGGAUACAUGAAAUAUGAUGACCAGAAAACAAGAUUCUAUAGUAAGAAGUAACGGGAUGGUCUUUGUGACAGUCGUGAAAAAAUUAUGGAAGCUUGUGUUUGUGCACUCAAUAGUAAUGAGUCAGUUGAAGAAUGCGUCCCACUUAAUUGGCAGGUCCUUCAUUCACAGAGAGUGAUUUUGCAUAAGAUAUGGUUCCAUUUUAUGGCCUUCUAUUGUGUUUUUUAAAAAUCCGUCGAAAGAAUUAUUCUCUUAGACAUAUCAAUGAGAUUUUUUUGCAGAACUUUUCUCUUUUCGGGGCUGUCCUGUUCUAUUUGGGUAUGAAGAACUCUGUUUUUUAAUCUGUAUUGUAUAGAUUUCUUAUGCUUCAUAUGGUUGUGCAACUAGCACUUUUGAAUCGGAUUCCCCCAUUUUUCUGUAAUGGUCAUUGUAUCGCCCCGAAAUAAUGUUGGAGUUGUCAUGCUUAUUAAUUGCUUGAUCAAUGUUUGUUUAUGUAGUUCCUGAUGAUGCUCUAGCUAGAAUGACUAGAGACAAGGGAAACGAAGUUGUUCUUGUAUAGUUUUUUCACUCGCUAAAUAUCGUGUGGGAAAAAUGUUCAGUAGUGUUCAGCCUUUCAACACCUGAAUUGCUAUGUCAUUCUGUUUGUCAUUCUAUUUUAUAUAUUGACUACUUAUCAUCACUCGUGCAAAGGUAUUUGUGUCAUCCUGUCAAUUUAUUUGCUGCUGCCACCUUAUGGCCGAGUGGAUCACUUUGUGGGGACCUCAUGACUUUAUCGUACAUGCAAUAUGCGAAGAUGAUGUUCUUAUUAUUCUAGAUGAGCUGGUCACCUCAGGACUCUUGUACGUGAUUUAUACGUGUUUAGCUUGGCUGAUUUUCUACUGCAUGUCGGUCCUCCUUUAUUGUUUUUAUCAAUAUAAGAGGAGUGCGUUGUUAA
Non-coding RNA from Physcomitrium patens, 2022 nucleotides. NCBI's taxonomy places the organism in Eukaryota, Viridiplantae, Streptophyta, Bryopsida, Funariales, Funariaceae. The record is from RefSeq and is a predicted model, not a curated record.